UNCUGGGCGUAAGAGUACGUAGGCGGUUCGCCNAGUCAGAUGUGAAAUCCCGGAGCUCAACUCCGGAACUGCAUUUGAAACUGGCAGACUAGAGGAAGAUAGAGGCAAGUGGAAUUUCUUGUGUAGGGGUGAAAUCCGUAGAUAUAAGAAGGAAUAUCAAUAGCGAAGGCAGCUUGCUGGGUCUUAUCUGACGCUGAGGUACGAAAGCGUGGGUAGCAAACAGGAUUAGAUACCCUGGUAGUCCACGCCGUAAACGAUGGGUGCUAGACGUUGGCCUUAAGGUCGGUGUCGUAGUUAACGCGUUAAGCACCCCGCCUGGGGAGUACGGUCGCAAGAUUAAAACUCAAAGGAAUUGACGGGGACCCGCACAAGCGGUGGAGCAUGUGGUUUAAUUCGAGGCAACGCGAAGAACCUUACCAGGGCUUGACAUCCUGAUCGCGGAUUAGAGAGAUCUUUUCCUUCAGUUCGGCUGGAUCAGUGACAGGUGCUGCAUGGCUGUCGUCAGCUCGUGUCGUGAGAUGUUGGGUUAAGUCCCGCAACGAGCGCAACCCUCAUCCUGUGUUACCAGCGGUUCGGCCGGGGACUCUCAGGAAACUGCCCGUGACAAGCGGGAGGAAGGCGGGGAUGACGUCAAGUCAGCACGGCCCUUACGUCCUGGGCCACACACGUGCUACAAUGGUAGUGACAGCGCGCUGCAACCUCGCGAGGGGGAGCUAAUCGCAAAAAACUAUCUCAGUUCGGAUUGUACUCUGCAACUCGAGUGCAUGAAGUUGGAAUCGCUAGUAAUCGUAGGUCAGCAUACUACGGUGAAUACGUUCCCGGGUCUUGUACACACCGCCCGUCACACCAUGGGAGUUGGUAUUACCUGAAGCCGUUAGCCUAAUCUGGGCGGCGUCCACGGUAGGAUCAGCGACUGGGGUGAAGUCGUAACAAGGUAACCAUCUUGCU
RNAcentral lists this ribosomal RNA (948 nucleotides) under uncultured Gammaproteobacteria bacterium. RNAcentral's name for it is "bacterial SSU rRNA". It matches the Rfam family "Bacterial small subunit ribosomal RNA", at positions 552 to 1509 of the family's 1533-position model. The record is from RNAcentral. Lineage: Bacteria; Pseudomonadati; Pseudomonadota; Gammaproteobacteria.